AACCAGCACAAAAUUUCAAGCUGACAUAGAAGAGGGGAUCAGAUCAAGGUGAAAAUAUCAUCAAUGCCAGGCUUCAUCAAGUUUCCCCCCUUAAACUUCUUCUUCUUGUUUUCCUUCUUCUUCUUCUUAUUCUCUAUGUUUUAACUUCAAAAUAAAAA
Molecule: non-coding RNA, 158 nt
Filed under: Heterosigma akashiwo
Lineage: Eukaryota; Raphidophyceae; Chattonellales; Chattonellaceae
Source: RNAcentral